UAGUCAUAUGCUUGUCUCAAAGAUUAAGCCAUGCAUGCCUAUGUAUAUGCUCUCGUACAGUGAAACCACGAAUGGCUCAUUAAAUCAGCUAUUGUUUAUUAGAUCAUACCCGUUACAUGGAUAACUGUAGUAAUUCUAGAGCUAAUACAUGCCUCGAAUCCGUGACCCGCGAGGGGAUCGGUGCACUUAUCAGUACAAGACCAACCAGGUGCGCCUUUAACGAGAUGCGCCUGUGAACGUCGUGUUGACUCUGGAUAAUUUCUACAGAUCGCAGUCGGCCUUGGGUCGGCGACAGUUCUUUCAAAUGUCUGCCCUAUCAACUUACGAUGGUAGGCAACCUGCCUACCAUGGUGAUAACGGGUAACGGGGAAUCAGGGUUCGAUUCCGGAGAGGGAGCCUGAGAAACGGCUACCACAUCCAAGGAAGGCAGCAGGCGCGCAAAUUACCCACUCCCGGCACGGGGAGGUAGUGACGAAAAAUAACGAUGCGGGGCUCAUUGAGGAUCCGUAAUCGGAAUGAGUACAGUCUAAAGCCUUUAACGAGGACCAAUUGGAGGGCAAGUCUGGUGCCAGCAGCCGCGGUAACUCCAGCUCCAAUAGCGUAUAUUAAAGUUGCUGCAGUUAAAAAGCUCGUAGUUGGAUCUUGACGGCAGUGCCGCUGGCCUCGAGCGUGUGCGUUCAUCCAUUGGACGGCCUACGGGUCCCACCCGGUGGAUGGGUUGAUGCGCUCUUGGCUAGUUGGUGGUGCAGUCUUUCAGCCGUGUCUGUGGCCCUCGGGCGACAGGUGCCUGUCGUGAGUGGGGUUUUUAACUCCCUGCCCACGGCUGGGUACGCACUGCGAUCCGCUUCGUUGUGUGUCGUGGUGCGGGCGGCAUGUUUACUUUGAACAAAUUUGAGUGCUCAAAGCAGGCCAAUGUGUCUGAAAAGUCUUGCAUGGAAUAAUAGAAUAGGACUUCAGUUCUAUUUUGUUGGUUUUCGGAUCUGAAGUAAUGGUUAAGAGAGACAGACGGGGGCAUUUGUAUGGCGGUGUUAGAGGUGAAAUUCUUGGAUCGCCGCCAGACAGCCUGAAGCGAAAGCAUUUGCCAGGAAUGUUUUCAUUGACAAAGAGCGAAAGUCAGAGGUUCGAAGACGAUCAGAUACCGUCCUAGUUCUGACCAUAAACGAUGCCGACUGACGAUCCGUGGGGUAAAAUUCUUUUGUCCCCACGGGCAGUCUCCGGGAAACCUUUAAGUCUUUGGGUUCCGGGGGAAGUAUGGUUGCAAAGCUGAAACUUAAAGGAAUUGACGGAAGGGCACCACCAGGAGUGGAGCCUGCGGCUUAAUUUGACUCAACACGGGAAAACUCACCCGGCCCGGACACUGUGAGGAUUGACAGAUUGACAGCUCUUUCAUGAUUCGGUGGUUGGUGGUGCAUGGCCGUUCUUAGUUGGUGGAGCGAUUUGUCUGGUUAAUUCCGAUAACGAACGAGACUCUAUUCUGCUAAAUAGUACUUCCGUAACUGGUCUGUCAGUGAGCUCGGGUCCCCGUCUGCACCUCGCGUGUGGUUGGGCGUCUCGUAGUGAACUUUCGACUGCGCGGAUGUGACUUCUUAGAGAGACAAGCUGCGCUAGCAGCACGAAAUUGAGCAAUAACAGGUCUGUGAUGCCCUUAGAUGUCCGGGGCCGCACGCGCGCUACAAUGACGGUACCAGCGAGUAUGACCUCCUGGCCCGAGAGGGCUAGGCAAACUGGUCCAUGACCGUCGUGACAGGGAUCGGGGUUUGUAAUUAUCCCCCGUGAACGAGGAAUUCCCAGUAAGUGCAAGUCAUAAGCUUGUGCUGAUUACGUCCCUGCCCUUUGUACACACCGCCCGUCGCUACUACCGAUUGAGUGGUUUGGCAAGGCCUUCGGAUCGGCACCAUUGUAACCUUCGGGUUCGACAGGUGCUGAAAAGAGGACCAAACUUGAUCCCUUAGAGGAAGUAAAAGUCGUAACAAGGUUUCCGUAGGU
RNAcentral lists this ribosomal RNA (1986 nucleotides) under Bravocotyle sp. n. SU-2015. RNAcentral's name for it is "SSU rRNA". It matches the Rfam family "Eukaryotic small subunit ribosomal RNA". Lineage: Eukaryota; Metazoa; Platyhelminthes; Monogenea; Mazocraeidea; Diclidophoridae. The record is from RNAcentral.